ACGGGGAUGAGGGGCUUGCAGGGAAGACAGAAUGGCCUCUUCUCCCUAGAGCAGCUGUGGCAGGCUGGAGGUAUGAGUAAAGCACUUAGGGUCUUUGUUCCUUCUCCAGUCCAAAGGCAGCAAGGGCAGUACCUCUGCAGUUGCAAAGGCGGAGGGACUUUCAGUAGCAUCUGGGAGCCUCACCCUGGAGAAACAGAGCCACUGCCAAUGGAAAUGUUCAUGCAGGGGUGGGGCAGCUCUGUGGGGGGCAGGGCUGCUUGGUGAAGAGUGGGAGGUAGAGGCUCACAGGGAAGAGAGACUGAGAGGCUGGGCUCCUCUGUCUAUGGUGACUGUGUCAUGCUCGAGGUGCCAGCAAAACAUUCAGGCUCUUUGUUUCUUCUCCAGCCCAAGGACAGCAAGUGGUACUUCUGCAGCUCCAGUGGCAGUAGGGUUUUGGGUUGUCUCUGGGAUUUCUGUAAGAAUUAAAGAAAGAGGAAAGAAACAUGAAAUGCAGCUCACCAGUCAAGACAGUUUUAUUUUAGAGAAAACAAACCCGAGAGGAGCUUCUGGCCAAGGUUGAAUUUUUGGCCAAGUGCAGUGGCUCACGCCUGUAAUCCCACCAGUUUGGGAGGCCGAGGCGGGUGGAUCACCUGAGGUGGGGAGUUCGAGACCAGCCUGACCAACAUGGAGAAACCCUGUCUCUACUAAAAAUGUAAAAUUAGCCAGGUGUGGUGGUGCAUGCUGGUAAUCCCAGCUACUUGGGAGGGUAAUCCCAGCUACUCUCCUGAGGCAGGAGAAUCGCUCGAAGCCAGGAGGCAGAGGUUGUGGUGAGCAGAGAUUGUGCCAUUGCACUCCAGCCUGGGCAGCAAGAGUGAAACUCCGUCUCAAAAAAAAAGGAUAUUUUCAGUUGCCAUCUGAAAACAAUGAAGAAAGUAUGACUUUUGUGAUCAGUUUGCCCUGUUUUCCCAAAUUUGGUCUACAGAUUUUCCAUUGUUCUGAAAUGAUUUAGGACCUUAUCCUUAGUUCUCCAUUUAAAAAAACGUAAGCAAUGAUCAACUUCAGUUUAUUACUGAUCCAUUGAUAACACCUUGUCAACUGAGGAGAUUGUCAUCUUAUCACUUCAUUCUAUUAUAUGUCUAUAAUGAGUUGUUUUGUCUUCCAAAAAGAUAUGUUUAAGUCCUAAAUUUUGGUACCUGUGAAUGUAACCUUAUUUGGAAAGAGAGUCUUUGCAAAUGUAAUGAACACGAGGACAUAUUGGAUUAGAUUGGAACUUAAGUCUAAUAACUGAUAUAAGAAAAAUGAGAUUUGGCAACACACAGACACACACACAGGGAAGAAAGGAAGACAGUGACAGAGAUGAUGCUGCUACAAGCCAAGGAACACCAAAGAUUGCCAGGAGCCAUUAUAAGCUAAGAAGAAACAAGGCAGGAUUCUUCAUCGGAGCCUUCAGAGAGAGCAUGGCCCUGCUCAACCCUUGACUUUGGACAUCUAGCCUGUAGAACUGUGCUGGGAUAAAUUUCUGUUAGUUUAAGCCACCAAGAUUGGGUUGAUUUGUUACAGCAGCCCUAGGAAACAAACAUGUCAUAAAAUAUUAUUCCACAUUCCUAUGGAUAUACAGCUGUUCAAGUGGUCAGUUUGCCUCCAUUUUGUUCAACCUACAACUGUGUGAUGCCCAUCAUUUCUUCAUAAGUCAAUAGUAACAUGCUAACACUAACAAAGCUCUUUUCUCUUUCAAAAUAUUUUAUCUUUAGAGAAACACCAUGUAGUGGUUUAUUAUGUUGUGCUGUUGUUGCUGUUAUCAUUGUUGUUAUUGUUACUAUUAAUAUUAGUGUUGUUAUUUUCAUUUUACAGGUUGAGACACAGGAACACACAACUAAUUAGGGGAGAGGAGAGGUCACCCAUACCACCCCAAGAGAGAAAUGUACUUAAGACAGAAUUCUGUGUGCUGUGACUGAAAUUAAGUUUUGAGACUAGCCAGUAUAUAGAAUAUGCUCAGAAAGUAUGUUUAAAUAAAUUAUACUAGCACCUUCCAAUCUCACAUUCUGCCUACAGGCUGACAGUGCUGGACAAGAUAGAGGCCACUGCAGGGCUCAUAACAUUUUAUGAAUUGCCUUCAUAUCAUUUGUGGUCAGAUAGUUAGUUCUAUGUCUAUAUGCAUAACCUAAUAACUUUAUAUUUUAAAUAAAUUGAUUUUAGGCCAGACACAGUUGUUCACACCUGUAAUCCCAGCACUUUGGGAGGCAAAGAGGGAGGAUAGCUUGAGGCCAGGAGUUCAAAACCAGCCUGGGCAACAUAGUAAGACUCUGUCUCUGUGAAAAAAAUUGAAAAUUAGCUGGGCAUGGGUGCAUGCACCUGUAUUUCCAGCUACUCGGGAGGCUGAGGCGGAAAUAUCACGUAAGUCCAGGAGGUUGAGGCUGCAGUGAACUAUGAUCAUGUCACUGUACUCCAGCCUGGGCGACAGAGCAGGAUCCCGUCUCUAACAAAUUUUUUUUUAUUUUAUUUGGAGUGUCUACACUUCAAUUCUUGGGGAUAUGAAAGGAUAACAUGUUCCUUAUUCAUAAACGUAUAUAACACGUACACAUUCUGUAAAAAGCUAACUUGCUUUCUUGGUUUUGCAUACUUUGAUCACCAGCAUUUUGACCUUAAUAAUCAAGUAGUACCUACCCAGCUGUGGUAUCUAUUAAUACAACCAAGGGCUUUAUUUUAAAAAAUCAAGUGUCAUUGCAAAUGACUGAUGAGACACCCUGAAAAACAAAAAUAUUAAAUUUGGAAGAUACUGGAGAAGAUAUGGUCAUGUGAGCACAGUUUUGCGUCAAAGAUUUUUCAGUCUUCUGUAAGUAUUUUUUAUACAGGUUUAUAUGCAAACUACAGGAUGUAAAUAAUUGGUCCUGAAACCAAUCUUCAAUUCCUUCUCACACAAUGUGACCGACAUCUGACCAGGAUGGCCAAGAGGGUAGCCUCUAUUCUCUUCAGGUGUGCUCUGGCCCCACCUGUCCAUCCCAUGCUGCUUAGGUGCUCUUUCAUCUCUAAAUGGUUUUCCAUUUGGGCCUCCAUUCUUGUUUUGCCGAGUACAGGUCCUUACUUAGGCAUUUGCUUUGUGUCUUCAUA
This 3087-nucleotide long non-coding RNA is filed under the name Homo sapiens (human). RNAcentral's name for it is "HSALNT0031605". Lineage: Eukaryota; Metazoa; Chordata; Mammalia; Primates; Hominidae. The record is from RNAcentral.